AUUGAACGCUGGCGGAAUGCUUUACACAUGCAAGUCGAACGGCAGCACGGACUUCGGUCUGGUGGCGAGUGGCGAACGGGUGAGUAAUGUAUCGGAACGUGCCCAGUCGUGGGGGAUAACGUAGUGAAAAUUACGCUAAUACCGCAUACGAUCUAUGGAUGAAAGCGGGGGAUCGCAAGACCUCGCGCGAUUGGAGCGGCCGAUAUCAGAUUAGGUAGUCGGUGGGGUAAAGGCCCACCAAGCCAACGAUCUGUAGCUGGUCUGAGAGGACGACCAGCCACACUGGAACUGAGACACGGUCCAGACUCGUACGGGAGGCAGCAGUGGGUAAUUUUGGACAAUGGGCGAAAGCCUGAUCCAGCCAUUCCGCGUGCAGGAUGAAGGCCCCCGGGUUGUAAACUGCUUUUGUACAGAACGAAAAGGUUUCUGCUAAUACUAGGAGCUCAUGACGGUACUGUAAGAAUAAGCACCGGCUAACUACGUGCCAGCCGCCGCAGUAA
Molecule: ribosomal RNA, 500 nt
Filed under: uncultured bacterium
Lineage: Bacteria
Description: partial 16S ribosomal RNA
Rfam family: Bacterial small subunit ribosomal RNA
Source: RNAcentral